RNAcentral lists this ribosomal RNA (490 nucleotides) under uncultured bacterium. RNAcentral describes it as "partial 16S ribosomal RNA". It matches the Rfam family "Bacterial small subunit ribosomal RNA", at positions 30 to 507 of the family's 1533-position model. The record is from RNAcentral.
AUUGAACGCUGGCGGCAGGCCUAACACGUGCAAGUCGAACGGUAACAGGAAGCAGCUUGCUGCUUCGCUGACGAGUGGCGGACGGGUGAGUAAUGUCUGGGAAACUGCCUGAUGGAGGGGGAUAACUACUGGAAACGGUAGCUAAUACCGCAUAACGUCGCAAGACCAAAGAGGGGGACCUUAGGGCCUCUUGCCAUCGGAUGUGCCCAGAUGGGAUUAGCUAGUAGGUGGGGUAACGGCUCACCUAGGCGACGAUCCCUAGCUGGUCUGAGAGGAUGACCAGCCACACUGGAACUGAGACACGGUCCAGACUCCUACGGGAGGCAGCAGUGGGGAAUAUUGCACAAUGGGCGCAAGCCUGAUGCAGCCAUGCCGCGUGUAUGAAGAAGGCCUUCGGGUUGUAAAGUACUUUCAGCGGGGAGGAAGGGAGUAAAGUUAAUACCUUUGCUCAUUGACGUUACCCGCAGAAGAAGUACCGGCUAACUCCGUG